This 229-nucleotide ribosomal RNA is filed under the name uncultured bacterium. Its description in RNAcentral is "partial 16S ribosomal RNA". It matches the Rfam family "Bacterial small subunit ribosomal RNA", at positions 568 to 796 of the family's 1533-position model. The record is from RNAcentral.
UCCGUAGGUGGCUAAUUAAGUCAGAGGUGAAAUCCUGCAGCUCAACUGUAGAAUUGCCUUUGAUACUGGUUAUCUUGAGUCAUUAUGAAGUGGUUAGAAUGUGUAGUGUAGCGGUGAAAUGCAUAGAUAUUACACAGAAUACCGAUUGCGAAGGCAGAUCACUAAUAAUGUACUGACACUGAGGGACGAAAGCGUGGGGGGCGAACAGGAUUAGAUACCCUGGUAGUCC